This is a long non-coding RNA of Triticum aestivum (bread wheat), 2285 nucleotides long. RefSeq lists it as uncharacterized. The transcript has 2 exons. The record is from RefSeq and is a predicted model, not a curated record. Lineage: Eukaryota; Viridiplantae; Streptophyta; Magnoliopsida; Poales; Poaceae.
AUCACGGGACGGGAGGACCGGGCGACCGACGGAGCGAAACCCGGAGGGCAGCCCCAGCGGCGGGCGCGCCGGGAGAUGCCGGGGCCUUUGCGGAGCGGCAUCUCGCGGCGUACGUACGUCCGUCCGGCCCGGGCCGACGCGCCGGGGGCGGGGAGGACGGGGACGCGACAGGAGUGCGUGGGCGCGUGGUGGAAAAUAGCGCGGUGAUGAUGCGGCGGGGAAAGGGAGGGGCGCGCGGGUCGGCUCAAUGUUUUGUUUCUCCGCUGUGCCGUCUCGAGUGGGACGAGGAGGCGGGGAGACGGCGGGCGGAUGCGUCAAGGGCGACGAAGAUGAUGGAGUUUGUUGCCAUGAGUGGCCUUGCGUGCCUUGCUCGCGUCGGGAGUUUUUCUACUGGUGAGUGAUGGAGUUUUUUUUCGUUUUUUCUUUUUUGAGGAAAGCUUUCCAGUGAUGGAGGGUGGAACAGCAAACCGGAGACGGACCGUGUGCCCCGGAGGAAACAGACUCCGUGGAACGGCUACAACAAUGCACGUGCUGAGACCAUUUGGGGGACGUUUUGCAGCGUCCAGUUAUCACGGUAGGACUUUCUUUUUAUGAAAUAUUUUGAUAGGACUCUCAAAGCCCGUCGCCAUAUAUCUUGGUACGGUGGUGAAUCGGUGACGAAGGUGACGGGGUGCUCUACUCUCGCAUCAGGUGUACACAUGAUCUUAUGACCACACGGGUUUUUGGUAAACAGCCGUCCAAGUGUGGACAUUGUGACCACAUUUGCCCCUUGUCUGUGAGGAAGCACUCUUUCUCUUUGCUCUCCUAUUUUUGUCUCUACUCCUACUCCUUGCUAGUGCCCUUGUGGCUAUUGCUAUCGUUGGGCUAAAAGUAUUCAUGAAACCUCCCAUUCCUAACUACACACUUGGGUGUAACUCAUCAAGCAACCCCAAAUAGUGUGAGAGAAAUAGUGUCUCAUUCGUAGCUCGAUGUGUAGUUGUGUAGGAGGAACAUUUUGAAACAAUAUAUAGCCUAGAGACAGAAGCAAAUGCGGUGGGUGGGAUGCAAUAUGCAAUGCAACUCAUCAAUAAAAGAUACACAUGAGAUUUAAGAUCAUCCCAGAAAGUGACAAAUAUAAAGGCCAUAGGAUAUUUAUACUUGUCAGUAGGGUAUAAAGGCCCACCGCUAAGAACCGUGACGAUAGCCACUCAUCCAAAUCAACAACCGUGACGGCACUGGCACGUUGACUAGGUCCCUGUCACUCACCCCGGGCAUAAAAACUGAAGACCGAAGACCGAAACCGGAAAGACCGAGACCGAACCCGAAAAGACCGAAUUAAAAAAGACCGAAUAAAAUACGGUCUGCAUAAGUAGAAGACCGAAUUAGUUACGGUCUGAUCGGUCCUACUGUCUCUAGGACCGAAUAGACCAUAUAGACCGAAUAGCCCAUACGCAAGAGGCCCAUGUGGCCAGCCCAAUGGUCACACACAACACGAGUACACGUCCUCCUCCUCACAUCACGGUUCACAGGAACGCAUCCGGCAGCCAAUUCACUCCCAUUCCUCUUAUCCUCUCCCACUAGGAACCCUAGCCGCCGCUCGUCGCCCACCGCUGUGGCCCGACGCCCCAUGCCCAUGAGAUGUGAGCCGGUGAUGGCCGCCGCAUCGAGGCGUGUGGCGUGCCCAUGCCGACGAAGAUCGGCGCCCCGAACCCCGACCCCAACCAGUGGAGACCGGUGCCCCAUGCCGCCAUCCUCGACCCUCCGUCAGUCGCUCCACUGCCGACGACACGGCCGUCCGCCGCCGGUGACGACCGCCGCAUCGAGGCGCGCGGCGCGCCCCUGACCGAUGAAGAUCGACACCCCGAGCCAAGGCCCCAACCAGUUGAGACUGGCGCCCCGCGCCGCCAUCCCCGAGCCCCCGUCAGUUGCUCCACCGCCCGCGACACGGCCGUCCACCGCCGGUGCUCCGUGCCCCGAUGACUGGUUCAACAGCUGCAGUCCAUCACCACUGAUCAGCACCCGUCUUCUUCAACUCUGUUCGUCGGCUCGCUGCCUACUGCCCUCCUUCAUUUCUUCACAUCGCAGCUGAAGAGACAAUUGAAGAAUUUGGGGACAAGGUGAAGGGAAAGCACAAGGUCCAUGGUGGUGCCGAAAUUGAUUUGUUUGAUGUCAAGUACUAUGUUAUCAAGUACUAAGUGAUGGUUGUCUGCUGUUUGCUGCUUGUCGAUUCCAAUAUUCCAUGGGCUGUUGUUGCUUGUGGUCUUAUUACUUUGUGUCAAAUAUAAAUGGUGUUGCUUGUUGUCUUC